UUUUAUGGCUCAGUGGUAAAGCACUUGCCUGGCAAGUGUGAGGCACUGGGUUCCAUCCUCAGCACCACAUAAAAA
RNAcentral lists this transfer RNA (75 nucleotides) under Marmota monax (woodchuck). RNAcentral describes it as "tRNA.Ala". The record is from RNAcentral. Lineage: Eukaryota; Metazoa; Chordata; Mammalia; Rodentia; Sciuridae.